AGCACCAAGUGUGGCCACUAGCCUAUAUGAAGGCCCAAAAUUGUGUGUUCCUUUCUGCUCUGACAAUGGCAUGCCCAUUCGUGCGAGAUGUGGUGGAUGAAGAAGCACUUGUGCUGAGGAGAGCCUUCAGACGAGAAAGGGUCUUCAGGGACCGGUUGGACCCACUGGCCUUCCCUGAUGACCAUCUAUAUGAAAGAUACAGGUUUUCUGCAGAUGGCAUCAGGUAUCUAUGCAGACUACUGGGUCCCAGGAUUAAGCACCGCACUGCACGGAGCCAUGCACUGAGUGUGGAGCAAAUGGUUUGUGUGGCCUUGCGCUUUUUUGCUAGUGGAGCCUUCCUGUACUCAGUGGGGGAUGCAGAACAGCUGAACAAGGCCACAAUUUGCCGCACAAUAAGGAGUGUGUGUCUGGCUAUCAAAGCAUUAGCAGAUGUCUUCAUCUCCUUCCCUGGCCACAGAAGACUCUGUGACAUCAAAGAGGAGUUCUAUAGGAUUGCAGAUGGUCUGCAAUGCUGACUGUGUGAUCAGCAAUGUUGUGGCAAAAUGGCCUGGCUCAGUCCAUGACUCCAGAAUCUUUCGGGCCUCUGAAAUCUAUCAGUGCCUAUCACAAGGUGAAUUCUCUGGUGUGUUGCUGGGAGACAGGGGUAUGGCUGCCAGCCUUUUCUCCUGACACCUUUCACAGACCCCCAGGAAGCACAGCAGGCCUACAACCAUGCCCAUGCCAGGACCAGGGCCAGAGUUGAAAUGACCUUUGGCCUCCUGAAGGCACGCUUUCACUGCCUUCACAAAUUAAGGGUCAGCCCUGUUAGGGCAUGUGAUAUUACUGUGGCUUGUGCUGUCCUCCACAAUGUGGCCUGCCUGAGGAAGGAGAGGGCCCCCAGAGUGCCACCAGCCAUGGACUGGGACAAUCCGGCAAUCUUCCCUGAUGACGACAGUGGUCGGCUGCUGAGGGACCAAUAUGUGUUGAAUUAUUUUAGUUAGUAUGUGUGCUUUCAAUUUUGGUUAAAUAUGUCCUGCGGUGGCAGAGGAAUUUGGGUUUUUUUGGGUUCGUUUUUUGACUAAUUUGGCCUCUUAUGAUGUUUGUGCGGUAUACUGUGUGUAAUACAAGGCUGCAGGGAGGCUACUGCAUCCAUUCAUUUGUCUGUUCAGUUGAUGUGUAUGGAUUUGUCCUGCAUUUAUUUUAGUGUGCAGACAUGCAGGGUGUGUUAUAUACAGACCUUUGAAUGUGUAUGUAUCAUUUUGUAUAAUAUGCUUGGAUUCUGUGCUUUCCAUCUUGUAGAGUCACUGUGACUUCAGUUUCGAAAGGAGCUGAUGGUUUACCUGCUUUGUUUUGUCCUUAUUCAAUAAAGGAACAUAAUGUUA
Molecule: long non-coding RNA, 1361 nt
Organism: Oncorhynchus masou masou (cherry salmon)
Lineage: Eukaryota; Metazoa; Chordata; Actinopteri; Salmoniformes; Salmonidae
Exons: 3
Source: RefSeq, a predicted model, not a curated record